AUACGUAUGGGGCAAGCGUUGUCCGGAUUUACUGGGCGUAAAGGGCGCGUAGGCGGUUUGUUAAGUCGAAGGUGAAUCCUCGGGCUCAACUCGAGAAUUGCCUUCGAUACUGGCAAACUAGAGUGGCGGAGAGGAAAGCGGAACUCUUGGUGUAACGGUGGAAUGUGUAGAUAUCAAGAGGAACACCGGUGGCGAAGGCGGCUUUCUGGACGCACACUGACGCUCAGGCGCGAAAGCGUGGGUAGCAAACAGGAUUAGAUACCCUGGUAGUCCACGCCAUAAACGAUGGGUACUAGGUGUCGGGGGUAUCGACCCCUCCGGUGCCGCAGUUAACGCACUAAGUACCCCGCCUGGGGAUUAUGGUCGCAAGGCUGAAACUCAAAGGAAUUGACGGGGCCCCGCACAAGCGGUGGAGCAUGUGGUUUAAUUCGACGCAACGCGAAGAACCUUACCUGGGCUUGACAUGCUUGGGACAGCGCUGGAAACAGCGUCUCUCCUUCGGGAGCCCUUGCACAGGUGCUGCAUGGCUGUCGUCAGCUCGUGUCGUGAGAUGUUGGGUUAAGUCCCGCAACGAGCGCAACCCUCGUUACUAGUUGCCAUCAGUUCGGCUGGGCACUCUAGUGAGACUGCCGGUGAUAAACCGGAGGAAGGUGAGGAUGAUGUCAAGUCAUCAUGGCCCUUACGCCCAGGGCUACACACGUGCUACAAUGGUCGGCACAAAGGGUCGCUAAGCCGCGAGGUGGAGCUAAUCCCAAAAAGCCGGCCUCAGUUCGGAUUGGAGUCUGCAACCCGACUCCAUGAAGGCGGAAUCGCUAGUAAUCGCGGAUCAGCAUGCCGCGGUGAUAUGUUCCCGGGGCUUGUACACACCGCCCGUCAUAUCACCCGAGUCGGGAUACCCGAAGUCCGUGACCCAACCAUUUGGAGGGAGCGGCCGAAGGUGUGCCUG
This 946-nucleotide ribosomal RNA is filed under the name uncultured organism. Its description in RNAcentral is "bacterial SSU rRNA". It matches the Rfam family "Bacterial small subunit ribosomal RNA", at positions 523 to 1470 of the family's 1533-position model. The record is from RNAcentral.